This 497-nucleotide ribosomal RNA is filed under the name uncultured bacterium. RNAcentral describes it as "partial 16S ribosomal RNA". It matches the Rfam family "Bacterial small subunit ribosomal RNA", at positions 28 to 507 of the family's 1533-position model. The record is from RNAcentral.
GAUGAACGCUGGCGGCGUGCCUAAUACAUGCAAGUCGAGCGAAAAGAUGAGGAGCUUGCUCCUCUGACGUUAGCGGCGGACGGGUGAGUAACACGUGGAUAACCUACCUAUAAGACUGGGAUAACUUCGGGAAACCGGAGCUAAUACCGGAUAAUAUAUUGAACCGCAUGGUUCAAUAGUGAAAGACGGUUUUGCUGUCACUUAUAGAUGGAUCCGCGCCGCAUUAGCUAGUUGGUACGGUAACGGCUUACCAAGGCAACGAUGCGUAGCCGACCUGAGAGGGUGAUCGGCCACAUUGGAACUGAGACACGGUCCAGACUCCUACGGGAGGCAGCAGUAGGGAAUCUUCCGCAAUGGGCGAAAGCCUGACGGAGCAACGCCGCGUGAGUGAUGAAGGUCUUCGGAUCGUAAAACUCUGUUAUUAGGGAAGAACAAAUGUGUAAGUAACUAUGCACGUCUUGACGGUACCUAAUCAGAAAGCCACGGCUAACUACGUG